Molecule: long non-coding RNA, 2778 nt
Filed under: Equus asinus (donkey)
Lineage: Eukaryota; Metazoa; Chordata; Mammalia; Perissodactyla; Equidae
Description: lncRNA (ENSEASG00005031966.1)
Source: RNAcentral
CUUAUGAAGACUUUCUGCUUGAAGAGUUUGAUUAUCAAUUUAUUCAUCAUAAGUCUAUACUAGAUUUGUAUUCUUUUCUUGGUAUGACUUUGGUCAUUACAUUUUCAUAGAAAACUGUUCAUUUUUAUGUGUGUUUUUCAGUGUAUUUUCAUGAAUUGAUUGAUAGAAUUCUCUUAAGAUUUCAGUCUUUUGGGACCGGUCCCGUGCCCAAGUGGUUAAGGUCACACGCUCUGCUGCGGUAGCCUAGGGUUUUGGUGGUUUGGAUCCUGGGUGCGGGCAUUGCACCGCUCGUCGCGCCACAUUGAGGUGGUAUCCCACAUGCCACAACUAGAAGGACCUGCAACUAAGAUAUACAACUACAUACCGGGGGGAUUUGGGGAGAUAAAGCAGCAGAAAAAAAAAAAGAUUGGCAGCAGUUGUUAGCUCAGGUGCCAAUCUUUAAAAAAAAAAAAAAGAUUUCAGUCUUUUAUCCAUAAUUUUCUUUUUUGAUCAGCUUUUAAAUUGUGUUUUAGUAUAAAGCUGCUAAUCAUAAAAGGACAAAAUGUGUUCUAGUUGGCCCAAUCUGAAACCUAGAAUUUCAGCUUCGGAGGGUCUUCAUAUUUUAUGCUGGCAGCAAACCCUAAACAUCGGGAGUAGAGGAAUGUGCCCUUGCCAUAUUUGUGUUCUCUGGCUCUGCACAGCCCCCAGUCAGCACCAUUUGCUGACAAGAGUAUCCUUUCUCCAUUGAAUUACCUUGACACCUCUGUGGGAAGUCAACCAGCAAUGUAUGUAUGGUCUGUUUCGGACUCUGUUCACUUCUUUUUUUUUUUAAUUUUGCCAUCCCUGAUGGUGCCUUUGGUGCUUCUGUUGUAGAGGGCAUCCUAGGCUGGUAGACUGGUCUUUUUUUUUUUUUAAAUUGGCAUCUGAGCUAACAACUGUUGCCAAUCUUCUUUUUUUUUUCUUCUUCUUCCUAAAUCCCCCCAGUACAUAGUUGUAUAUUCCAGUUGUAGAUCCCUCUGGGUUUGCUAUGUGGGACCCUGCCUCAGCAUGGCCUGAUGAACGCCCAGGAUCCAAACCGGCAAAACCCUGGGCUGCCAAAGCUGAGUGCACGAACUUAACCACUCAGCCACAGGGCUGGCCCCUGUUCACUUCUGAUGGUCUGUGUUAAUCCUGUUGCUAAUACCACACUGUCUUGAUGAGUGUCUCUUCAGUAAGUCUUGAAAUCAGGUAAUACAAGUCUUCCAACUUUGUUCUUUUUAAAAAUUGUUUUGGAUAUUCUAGGUCCUUUGCUUCUUUACAGAAUGUUUUAAAAAUCAGCUUUCUUAUCUCAAAAGUCGGCUGAGAUUUUGGUUUUCAUUGCACAGACUCGGAGAAUUUGUAGUGUAGAUCAAUUUGGGGAGAAAUUACAUCUUGAUCAUGAGUCUUCCAGUUCAUGAACAUGGUGUCAGUGUCAUUCAAGCACGUGCCUGUGGAGUUCCCCAGGAGGAGUGGCCGCAGGUGGAGUCUGCACAGAGGACCCUGUACAGAGACGUGGUGAAGCUGGAGAACUACAGUUGCCUUGUCUGUCCUGCUUUUCCAUAGGAACAGGAGUCUGGGAACAAGGAAAACAGUCCUAGAAGCAGAAGAAGAGUAUGGGAUCACUCAUGGACAGUGCUGCCAUCUCAUUUGGACAGGUCACUUCCUAGAUGUGCUGAGUGUGCAAAUUCUGUCUCCUUGUCUCAUCCAGUGUUUCUCUGAAUGGAAGCAAGUAUCUGGGCCCCAGGUGUGACUUGGUAUGUGACCCUAGCCUGUACAUCAGCCCCUUUGGGCCACCACCUCCCCUUGGUUGGAAGUCCUCGGGCUGUGGGUAGAUGGAAAACAUCCCAGAAUGGGAGUGACAUGCUCUGCGUUCCAUAGUACUGGCUUUGCCAUUGAUUGUGUGACUCAUUCUGAUGUUCCAACUGUGAAGAUCAAAUUUGAAGUGAUGGAUAUGUUAUAUUAAAUGUAUUAAUAAGAGCAGAAAUUAAAUCUGUUGGGUUUAAAUGCAACCUGUAGGGUUUGCUUCCUCUAUAAGCCUGGCUGUCUCUGCAGGAGCUGAAGGUUGCUUCUUUAGGCUUGUUGUCUGGGAGCUAGAGCAGAGUGGAGAGAGUGAGGUGGAGCCACGGUGAGCCAUAUUGCACCUAAUUUUUCCUCCCCUCUAAGUCUGAAUACUGGCAGUGGUGAGUCAGGUGGUUCUAAGGGCUCCUUUCACUUUACCAUUCAUGAUGACCCCACACCACCUCUCCCUCCACGCCACCUUUUUCUCCUUCUUUGGAUGCCCCAACCUCUUUGACGUUUUUCAGCUGCCACUCCACUCAGCUCUUAAGCAACUUUGACCUUGAAGACAUGGAUGUGGAUGAGAACAAGGAUCCACUUGGCACCUUUGGCCACUUUUGCUUCAGUGAACUGAGUGGGGUGUCCAAGAAGAAACCCUGGUUUUAGGAAGACGUCUAAGAAUGUUCCAAUGAUCCCCGCCUCCUGAUAGUCACACCUUUGGCAAGCUUCCAUGUUGGAGAGGCCCACAGGACAAGGAACUGAGGGUUGCCUCCAGCCAACUCCAGCCCACAGCCACCAGGAAUUGAGGAUCUCAGUCCAACAGGCCUUGAGGAGCUGCAUCCUGCCAACAGCUAUAUAAGUGAGCUCAGAACUAUGUCCUUCUCCAGUUGAGCCUUCAGAUGAGACCCCUGCCCCAGCUGAUACCUUAAUUGCAGCCUUGUGAGAGACCCUGGAGCAGGGAACCCAGGAUCUUCCCCUUGGUUGCCAUGAGCUCAUGAGCUUCAG